Manis javanica (Malayan pangolin) is the source of this 1352-nucleotide non-coding RNA. The record is from RefSeq and is a predicted model, not a curated record. NCBI's taxonomy places the organism in Eukaryota, Metazoa, Chordata, Mammalia, Pholidota, Manidae.
CCUCCCUCCCCCGACCGAGUGAAAAUGAACGCAAGAUACAUCUCUUUCCCUAGAAGAGAUUGGCAUUGGUCUGGUUUCCCCCAGAGAAUCGUCCGGCCGUUGUCACAGGAGGGUCAACACAGAGGUCCAUCUGUGGAAUGUGGGCAAUCAUCUGCAAGUUGAGAACAGAGGUCAAGGCAUCAAAUAAAGUGGUACAUCAUCAUUUCAAAUAUCCUGUGAAGCAGCACUGUUACUGUCCCUAUUUUCAGCCGAGGACACAGGCACGCUGAAUACGGAGUUGGCCAGCUGGGAUUCCAACUCAGGUGGUCUGGCUCCAGGGUCUUCGCUCUUAAUGCUGCAUGACAUUGGCCCUCAAUUAAGGAGCAUGGAUCUUUACAAGUAUGCAGAUGCAUUGCAAUAGGUGCCCUCUCCAGUCCUGGGACUCAGGAGCCCUGUGUGACGUGCAAGGCAUUCUGAAGUAAGGCCGGACGUUUCCCCAAGGAGAGGGUUCCCGGUGGGGCCUCUGCUCUUUGUGGACUUCCAGCGUUAGGAAACACACUGCGGUUUCCCAGGUGUGCUGUGUUAAAUGCAGCAAGACAUUGGAUUAUCUGUUUUGAACGAAAGCAUCCCUUACAACAUGAGCACGAGGCUUAAGGAGAUGUCCGCAAAGAGACCAGCAUUUAAAGAUAAUACUUAGAGUGCGCGCCCAAGCAAGCUGUGAGCAAGUGGCAGGAUUGGUACAUCAGCUGCUCCUGACACGAACCCCUCAGCUGUCGCAAGGUAAAUACAGUGACAGUGGCAUCAGAUCUUGGAAGUCAGUCACAGAAACACAAGUCUACAUCAGCAAAAGGAGAUGUGCAAGUGCAUGCACUGUUUUUCACCCUGUGCCAUGCCUUGAAGUGGUAGCCAACAGAAUGAUACCAGUUUCUAACUUAUAAAUACAUGAGAUGUAUAUUGUGGCAUCUGCCUUGAAUUUCCCUGAUAAAAGGUGCACAAUGAAAAGUCUGGAGCCUCUAGAGUUUUAAAAAGAAUCUGUGGCUUCUGCCUGCCUGGAUUAUCACUGUUCAUUCGGGCCCUGCUCUAUGUGUCUCCUGCCUACUUAGAAGAACAUCCUUUCUGAAGAGUUGAAAAUCAGGACAUGAAAAGGAUUUUGUAAGGAAAAUAAAAGCCAUUGAUUGAAACAGAGUCAUGCUGGGGAGACUGAACUUUGAGGGGACCUGGGCCCCAUAUGCCUUUGUUUAUCAUUACCUGUGGGAAGGCUGUCCCCACCUUCAAUUCUUUGUUUGAAAAUAUUUAAAUUUUUUUCAAAUAUAUCCUUCUAUCAGCACAUAAUUGCACUGAACCUAGUUAAUAAAAUUCUGAAAAAUUGGGAA